This 357-nucleotide unclassified non-coding RNA is filed under the name soil metagenome. RNAcentral's name for it is "partial contains 5.8S ribosomal RNA, internal transcribed spacer 2, and large subunit ribosomal RNA". The stretch from base 1 to 119 matches the Rfam family "5.8S ribosomal RNA", at positions 35 to 154 of the family's 154-position model. The record is from RNAcentral.
GAUGAAGAACGUAGCGAAAUGCGAUAAGUAAUGUGAAUUGCAGAAUUCAGUGAAUCAUCGAAUCUUUGAACGCACAUUCGCCCGUCAGUAUUCUGGCGGGCAUGCCUGUUCGAGCGUCAUUACGCCCCUCAAGUCCCCUGUGGACUUGGUGUUGGGGAUCGGCGAGGCUGGUUUUCCAGCACAGCCGUCCCUUAAAUUAAUUGGCGGUCUCGCCGUGGCCCUCCUCUGCGCAGUAGUAAAACACUCGCAACAGGAGCCCGGCGCGGUCCACUGCCGUAAAACCCCCCAACUUUUUAUAGUUGACCUCGAAUCAGGUAGGACUACCCGCUGAACUUAAGCAUAUCAAUAAGCGGAGGA